UUUGGGCGUCUUAUGAAAGGUUGAGUAGUAGUCUCGCUGAGGUGACAGCAUCACUCCCUUAAGAGAAGAUGGUGAGCCAUAACCUGUGCCAGGAAAAGGAAAACAAGAAACAUAAAAACCUUUUGCAUCUCCAAAAAACAGACUAAAACAAAUAAAAAAUGACACACAAGUCAGAAAGAUCAUAGUCCUACAAGCUUAUAACGAGUCAAUAUGUAUACCUCUGGUGGGAGAGACGCUCAAGUGGGUUGCCCUCUUUGGGCUACCCCAGGAAGUCCUUUCAUAAGCUUUCCCAGCAGACCUGCUAAGAAAUUCAGCACUUUUGCGACCUCUGGAAGUCUGUUUAGCCUGUCGCAACUACCUGAAAAAUCAGAUAACAAUUAGCAGCAAGCAAUAUAAGAAAGAUGAUUAAGGUACUUCCAAUGAUGCUUGCA
This 431-nucleotide long non-coding RNA is filed under the name Aquilegia coerulea. RNAcentral's name for it is "long non-coding RNA (ACOE_LNC002289)". Lineage: Eukaryota; Viridiplantae; Streptophyta; Magnoliopsida; Ranunculales; Ranunculaceae. The record is from RNAcentral.